ACACAUGCAAGUCGAAGCGAUGAAACCCUUUCGGGGUGAAUUAAGCGGCGGACGGGUGAGUAACACGCGGGUAACCUGCCUUAUAGAGGGGGAUAGCCUUCCGAAAGGAAGAUUAAUACCGCAUGAAAUGUUUUUAUCGCAUGGUAGAAACAUCAAAGGAGUAAUCCGCUAUAAGAUGGACCCGCGGCGCAUUAGCUAGUUGGUGAGGUAACGGCCCACCAAGGCGACGAUGCGUAGCCGACCUGAGAGGGUGAUCGGCCACAUUGGAACUGAGACACGGUCCAGACUCCUACGGGAGGCAGCAGUGGGGAAUAUUGCGCAAUGGGGGAAACCCUGACGCAGCAACGCCGCGUGAAUGAAGAAGGCCUUAGGGUUGUAAAGUUCUGUUUUCUGGGACGAUAAUGACGGUACCAGAGGAGGAAGCCACGGCUAACUACGUGCCAGCAGCCGCGGUAAUACGUAGGUGGCAAGCGUUGUCCGGAUUUACUGGGCGUAAAGGAUGCGUAGGCGGAUGUUUAAGUGAGAUGUGAAAUACCCGAGCUCAACUUGGGUGCUGCAUUUCAAACUGGAUAUCUAGAGUGCAGGAGAGGAAAGCGGAAUUCCUAGUGUAGCGGGUGAAAUGCGUAGAGAUUAGGAAGAACACCAGUGGCGAAGCGCUUUUCUGGACUGUAACUGACGCUGAGCAUGAAAGCGUGGGGGAGCAAACAGAUUAAAAUACCUGUUAGUCACGCGUAACGAUGAUACUAGGUGUAGGAGGUUUCGACUCCUUCUUGUGGCCGCAGUAACCACAAAUAGUAUUC
This 800-nucleotide ribosomal RNA is filed under the name uncultured bacterium. Its description in RNAcentral is "bacterial SSU rRNA". It matches the Rfam family "Bacterial small subunit ribosomal RNA", at positions 51 to 869 of the family's 1533-position model. The record is from RNAcentral.